AAAUUUAUUGUCUUUCUUAAUCUUCUUCUAAUAUAUAAAAUUCUCGUGUCACAGUUUUCGUUGCCAUACUCCUCCGAAACGGCUUGACCGAUUUUGAUGAAAUUUUUUGUGCUUAUCCGGUAUCUAUGAGAAUCGGCCAACAUCUAUUUUUCAUCCCCCUAAAUGUUAGGGGUAGUCCACCCCUAAAUUUUUUUUUUAUUUUUUAGACAAAAUUUUUAAUUUCUAUUUUUUUAUGAUACAACAUACAAAAAUACAUACAAUCCUCAAUUUUCACCCUUCUACGAUCAACACUUAUUUUUAUUUGCUAAUUAAAAACUAAAUUUUUUUGCAAGAAUUUUGUUUUUAUUUUGUCAUGACUUAGAAUAAAAAAAAUUAUAGUACUCUGAAAUUUUCACCCCUCUACGUUCAACCCCUAUUUUUUAUUUGUUAAUUAUAAAUUUUACAUUUUUUUGGCAAGAUUUUAUUUUUUAUUUUGUCAUGACUUAAAAUAAAAAUAAAAUAUAUUACUCUCAAUUUUCACUCUUAUACGAUCAACCCCUAUUUUUCCAUCCCGAUUUUUAUUUUUUUUAUUCUAUGCACAGAUCCGCAAUAAGGUUGCAAGAUGGCAAUCAAAUAUUAUAAUUGUAGUACGAUAAAUUCUUAUUCUGAGUAUAAUUUCAAGUUCCUUUAAUUAUGAUUUUUUUUUAAAUUCAAUCGAUCAGUUAUCCCCGCCAGGUGUCGCCUCUCAUCCAGCAAACAUCACGUAGUAGGGAUGAGGACGAAGCCGGUCUCCUGUCUUACUCACUAUACAUUUUUCAGCCAUGUUUCUUUGGUUUUAUUUGUGUAUCAAUCGUAGCUUGCCAGCCAUGUUUUUUUGGUUUUAUUUGUGUAUCAAUAGUAUGUUCAGUAGGUCUGAGAAUCGGCUACUAUCUAUAUUUCAUACCCCUAAGUGAUAAGGACUGUCCACCCCAAACAUUUUUUAUUUUUUUUCUUGGUUAUAAUGAGGUAUAGUCCCCGGCACGUAACUUGGCAAGAGUCGCUAGAUGCGCAGAAGUCGUUUUUUAGGUCUCUUUGGUUGUCAAGCGGGACGCGGGGACAGACGUAGCACCGUUGCGAGCGCGCGAUUGGUAAGUCAGUCGACCCUCCCCUCCCGCACCGCGUCCACGUUCCGUUCGCUCCCGGUUACACAUGCGCCUACUAAAGUUGUAGGAACCCUUUGUUUAUAUUGAGUUUUUGUUACGAGUUGUUGUUACUGUUUUAAAUUUAGUUUUUGUUACGAGUGUUAUUGUUUUAAAUUUGCUUGCAAUGGCAGGACCAAAUACCAAUGACCAUAAUUAUUGUCGAUUCAGUCACUGAGCGUUUUAUUAUUUACGCCAGUGACGACAGCGACUCUUCGUUAUGUCGACGAUGAGGACGAGGUCGAGGGAGCCAACUCCUUCCACCAGCUCAGGUGCUACCAUAAAUUUAAUCCAAGGGGUAGCACUAUUAGAAAAUGAUAGUGACGACGGCGACACAUAAUUGUUAAUAUUAAGUAUAUUUUUUUAAAUAAAAUUUUUAACUUUUAAUUGUAUUUUAUUUAUAACACCUAAUACACUUCACGAAUUCCUCUCUUUUCUUUAACUUUCUUCUAAACACAAAAACAAAUUAUGGCAAAUAAAAAAUUUAAUAAAAUAAAAUUAACAUAUAUGCGGGCAAUAAAAGUGACCAUUUUUUUGUUGCAAUGUACACUAUGCGCGACAUUACCCCCACUACACCAAAACCUUGCCAACUUACGUGCCGUAUAUUAUAUGGUUGAAUGAGGUUUGUGAGAAUUUUAUAUAUUAGACUAGAAUUUCCCUAGAAAUCUUAUUUAAGGCAACACAACGUUUGCCGGGUCAGCUAGUAAAUAAAUAAAAUUGAAUCAUUGAGUUAUUUGGUUACCUUGAAACUACCCACAUUUUCAGUUUCUAUGAAACCGAUUCCGUAAAGUCAUCAUACUUAUAUUUUUAAAAGUCACAUAAUUCUUCAUUAAAUUCGGUUAAAUUUUACGUUGUCUAUACUAAUAUUAACUAAUCUUAUAAAGAGGAAAGAUUUGUUUGUUUGUGUUGAAUAGGCUCCGAAACUACUGAACCGAUUUGAAUAAUUCUUUCACUGUUUGGAACCUACACUAUUCCCGAGUGACAUAGGCAUAUUAUAAUCUUUUUUGAAAAAAAUUACGUUUCCUUACUAAAACUCCAAUAAUGUAACCCAAAGUGUAAAAAAAUACCUAAAAUAUUCUUUACAUCGCGUGCCCUGCGAAAACUAUUGAUAAUAGAAUAAAAUAAUAUACGACGACUUUGUAGAACACAUUAUUAUUUACAAAAGUGUCGUGACAGCAUAUGUCUAACUAUUAUAGUUAUGCCGCAAUAAGUGUUCUUUUAUUUUAAAAAAUAAAACAACGUCGUUGAAAUUUUUGUUAAAGACCCGAGCGGAGCCAGAGCGGCGGCUAGUCGUAAAUAUUUAUUAAAAAAGUAAAAAAAAAAAAAAACGGAUUAAGUACGGGAGUUAUCUAAACGUCGUUUAUUAAUAAGGCCCUAAUGUGUAUUCAAACACAUGAAUUGCAUCAACAACUUAUAUGUAUACAUAUCUUUAAAAAAUACUGUUUCAUUAAAAAAAAAAUAACCUUCAAUUUCAUAUACAGUCGUGAGUUCUGGAAUAUACUCGCGUAUUAGUAAGGACUUAGGCCGACCGUUUUUAUUUUUGAAUGCGCACAAUUUCACAGACGUAACAUAAACUCAGCUGUAAUCCCACGGGAAGCAGUCACGCGGGGCUUACAUUAUUACAUAUCUACGUAAAAAAUACCUACAUUUUUUAUGCGUAAAUGUUCGCCGCUUGUUAGAAACAGUGUCCUACUUUUGCGAGAGAAUAAACUGAAAUUAACAACGAGUUUUGCGUAUAAUUUAAUAUAUUUUUCGACUACGCAAUUUCGAUAUUGAUAAUAUAAUCAAUCUAGGAAUAGUACACGGUAUUUUCUUUUUUGCUUAUAUUUUUACUGCCGAUAUAAAAGAUAAAACGUACUAUAACAAAUUCCUAAUCUACACCAUAUUAUAAUGCAUUAAAUAAUAACGUAGGUAAUUAUUGAUUUGCCUCAUUAAAAUCAAGAAGAAUAUUAAUAGUCUUUGUACUUCAACAUAAGAACACAUUCACUGCCUGAUGCGUACCUAUUAACGUUGUUAAUAUCAUUAGUGGCACUUGUUUUUCAAGCAAUCGCUUGCGAAUACAAAUUAAUAAAAAUAAAAACUAGUAAUCGUACUGCUAUGAACACUGUAAGACAGAAGUUCACCACGCAAUAUAAACAAGGUCUUGGGAAACCUAUCCCGAAACCGAAGACUCGUGGUGGCUCUGAAGUAUUGAUGACAUUGAGAAAUAUAUUUUUUAUUACACUAAGAUACUGUACGCGAUUAAACUCAAAUUAACAACUCAGCAACGCACAAUGAAUGUUCACGGACACUCUCAGCAAAGGGCGUCCACUCGUUGUCUAAUGUUUACAAAGCAGAUUCACAACAUAUGAAAUAAAUAAAGGACAAAUAUUUAUCAUAACUAGAGGUCCCGCAGUAGUCGAAAUUCGACUAUAAUUAAUUGGAAUUGUAAGUUUGUACACUAUUAUGAUUGUAUUUUAUACUUCUAUAAUCACAAAUUUCGCCAAGGCUACACUAUAAAAAAAUAUUAAUAAAGACAAACAAUAUUUAAUCUAUUCUCAAUUUGAUCACUGACGUCAAGAACAAAAGUUUGACAAUAAAUAGUAUGCAUGCGUGUGUGCGUCAAAUACAUGGUAUGUAGUGUGUGUAAUGUUUUCUUUAUUGAUUUAACGUAUCUUUAAUGCAUUAUUUAAAAAAAAAUAUUAGCAUUGUGCACUUCUUCUCUAUAUUCUCUAUAAGUGUGGAAAAUUUCAUACUCCUCCGUCUACGCAAUUUUCGUAAAAAGGGAUACAAAGUUUUUGCUUCACGUAUUAAUAUAUAGAUAAUAUCUUAGUAUAAUAUGAUUUUUUUUUAUUACUUAGAUGGAUGGACGAGCUCACAGUCCACCUGGUGUUAGUGGUCACUGGAGCCCAUAGACAUCUUCAAAGAAAAUGCGCCAUCCACCUUGGGAUAUAGUUCUAAGGUCUCAGCUAAUACAACGGCUACCCCACCCCUCAAACCGAAACGCAUCGCUGCUUCACGGCAGAAAUAGGCGAGGUGGUGGUACCUACACGUGCGAACUCACAAGAGGUCCUACCACCAGUAAAAAUGAAAUAUGAACAUAAUAUAUACAAACAAAAAAACUGACUGCAACUAUUUAAAAUAAGAAUAUCGUCAAUCUAGUCGAAGUUAAUUAAAAAUGCAUUAUUACGCGAGUCUUGUGCUCGUUCUACUUAAUAUAUUUAUAAAUAAAUAAAAACGUAUAUCAGUAAACCUAAUCACGUAUCCCACAUAUUGCUUAAAACAUAAAUUCUUAAACACAUUAAUAAAGCUAUAGUUUUUAAAAACGCACAUAACAUAGUAUUCGAAAAAUAUAUUUAUUUUACAAACACACUACGCAGUGGUAAAGGCAUUAACAUUAAACAGACAUUGAUAAUAAGGACACGUUUGUGUGAAUAACAAAAAGCUUAAUAAAUUCGAUCACAUCCUCGUUGACUAAAUACCUGUUACUCGAGUAAUAAGGUCGAAUUCUUUUGGUGAAUAAUACAGAAGUACGUAUUCGUUGUGUGAUUAUCAACAUUUAGUCUCAAAAGAUACUAAAAUAUUUAACUAUGGAGUCAUGUAUUUUGAUUUAUGAGAUGAUAUCUAGCGUACAACUAAUCGACUUAAUUGAAAAAGAUCAACGGCAAAAUCCAGCCUCGGGAUCCAUGAAGAAUUUUUAAAUCUUGAACAAGAACAUAUCACAGUGUACACGUGCAUGAUAAUAACUGAAAGGGCGUUAGUAUGUCGUAUGUAAUGUCGAGUGUUAGUAUGCCGUCAGCUCCGAUAGUCAUCGCUGCUAUGGUUAGAUGAUACAAAAAUCAACGAGAUCUCAAAUAUUUAUCUAGAAUACCCUAUGGUUAAUGCGGUACAACAUACAGACAAAAAAAACCUUUACCAGUAGCUCCAUUCCAGUGAAGUUCCAUUGAACGCUCAACAGUCUAACAUGUUUUUUUUUUAAUACCUAGAAUGCAUAAUGAAAUAUUUGGACACGACGAAAUCGGAAUUUAAAAGUCAUAGUGACCUAGCAAUUGAACUUUUAUUAAUGGUGUAUUUAUUUCCACAGCAAUAGAAAAGAACAAAAAAAAAACAAACAUAAAGUCUAAUGUACAAAAAUGCAUUUUGCGUCUUUAUUGGUUCGUGCCCUGUGCUGUCGCGCAUCGUUUAUAUUGUUACGCCGGUAAGAGUACGCCAUAUAGAUGGCGUUACUCUUACCGGCGUAACAGCGAUAGCGCCGAAAGUCUAACGAAUAUCGAAGGGUAAAGUAGCACCUAGAACGCUCGAGAAGUACAACGCCAUCUAUUGUCAGAUAGCGGAAACAUAAUACUCGAAAUGUAUGGAAUAUUCUCGAUAAUUCUAGGGAUGUGGUAUCGGCUCUAAAAGCGUUACAGAGAUAGCACGCAGUUAGUCAGUAAUCGGAACUACUCGAAGCGAAACAAACGAAACCUGAAGCGAAGCGGAAGAAGCGAAUUGAGAAUUUUAAAGUGUUUGUGAAGUGUUUUAAGUGUUGAAUACAGUUUUGAGUUAUACUUCGGUGGAAUUUUAUUUAUUCCGAACCCCAGCGCGUAACAAUAUUAUGAAGUUGAAGUUUUGGACACUUCUGCUCUUGGUUACAUGGUAAAGGCUUCCGGAAUAAUACCAUCAACGAACAAAAGGUGGCACGUGACCAAUAAAAAAACCUACGCAUUUCGCUUCGUAUUUCUCGAUAGCAAAUAAAGCACAAGCAGGUAUCACUUGUUUAAAUUAAAUCAAGUUAUAUUGGUUUCAUACCAGUCUAUCCUUGAAAAUGUCAAUAUUUGUGCCAGGCAACAACUACUACAAACAUUUAUGUCUACUGAGUACUGACCGACCAGUGAUGACGGUAUUAUUUAAAUUUUGGAAUGUAAUAAUUAUACUAUACAAAUAAAUUUAUUCAACAUUAUGCAUUUAUAUAUAUUCAUCUGUAUGCACAAAUAGUACAGCGGUGAAUCAAAGAUGGUGUAGACAGUACACUGAGAUGUGCUUUGCUUUAUUGUUACUUAUUAAAGAGGAAAUAAGAACAAAUAAAAACUAUAUACCUACUCAAAAUGUAUACUAUAAUCGACAUAAAUAUACAUAUAUCUAUUAUAAAAUACAUAUAUAAGACAAAACAAAAACUACAGUACCUACAUUUCACAGAAUAUAUUUACACAAUGAACAAAUACUUCGUUGAAAAAAAAAAGACAAUUAAUUAAAGCAGUUCAGGAACUGAACUAAACGAGUGCAAAAUUGAUAGUCAUAUUAGCAUUACACUUAUACAGUUUUUAAUUUAUUAGCCGGCUGUCUGACAAGCUGCUUAUGAGAAGGGGUGACCCACAGCCGAGUCACUCGAGCUAUGCUUGAUACUUCUUCAACAUCUGUUUGUUUCUUUCAAUAACUAAAACUCUCUAAGUCAACAUGACCUACCUAUUUCUAUCGGGAGCAAUCCUACUAUCCCGUUCGACUGGUAGUAGAACUAUUAUUCUAAUGCAAUUGAUAAUUCAAGAACAUAUUUCUGGUGGUGUGACCUCUUGUGAGUCCGCGUGGGUGGGUACCACCACCCUGCCUAUUUCUGCCGUGAAGCAGUAAUGCGUUUCGGUUUGAAGGGUGGGGCAGCCGUUGUAACUAUACUUGAGACCUUAGAACUUAUAUCUCAAGGUGGGUGGCGCAUUUCCGUUGUGGAUGUCUAUGGGCUCCAGUAACCACUUAACACCAGAUGGGCUGUGAGAUCGUCCACCCAACUAAGCAAAAAAAAAAGAUUAGAAGUAUCCCAUCAUCACGGUGAAAUCUUUAACAAAGCGCCGCGUCGUGCUAAACGUCUUACGUCAAUAUUCAAUUGGGAAUAUUUUCCAAAAUUUAUUAUUCGAUGUUCCGAUACAUGAUUUAUAAUACAAGAUGACGAGGUCGACCACCCAGAGCGUGUAUUGCCGACGCAAGAUGAAAUCGAUGAGUAUGUCCAAGGAUAAACCUAAACAAAAAACUUGUUUCACAUCAAUUUAAAUGACAAGACAAUAUGCGUAAUACCCUAUUAUCCAAUAACAUAAUAAUAUAAAGGCUCGUUCAAGAGAUUCGAGCGAUAGCUCGGAAAUAAUAAUAAGUAAGAUAUAAAUUAGAUUUCUGUGAUUGGUAGUGUUCUCGAAAAUGAACACGAAUUGUAAGGCCUUUUUUGCUUGAUGCAAUACCUAACAGAAUAAUUAUCUUUUACCAGUGCUUUACACAGUGCACGCAAUUUAACACAAGUAUUCUUUAAUCUUUGACGCGCGGCAUCAGCCACUUCGUGGGAACGCAGGGGCCAUUCUCAAACCUUCAAUAAGAUUUUAUAAGCACAACUUACUCAAACAACCAGUAUUUAUCAAUAACAAUAUAAAAUGAUUUGUUUGUGUGGGUAGAUUGAUAUCUUGCUUAUUUCUGUCACAGGACAUUUGAAGGGUGGGACAACCGUUAUACAACACAAUUAAAAAUUUGGCCUCAUGUCUCAAUGUUGAUGGUGGUAUUCCUAUUGUCUAGUGGUUCCCGUAAUUACUUAAUACAAGGUGGCUGGGUCGGCGAAAUUCCCAUUACCCUGUGUUCCUUCGGGACAAACAAACUGCUCUUCCUCCUUAUCUUUCUGUUGAUGUGUACCUGGAAACGAAAUUGAAGCGAACUUCGAUGAAUUCAAAUAAAUAAGAAACCACGAACCUGAGAGCCAAUUUACGAUGCUUCUAAAAAUAAUUCAACGUGAAAUUUAAAUGCUCUGUGACCAGGAAACUGCUCGAGAAUUUAGUCGGUCUUCCCAGUUUUAGCAGGACAGUUGGGCGAGCAAAGGCUCAGCCAGGAGCGGUGGGAUUUGCUACCAUCUGCCCGAGCGCACGAGCGCCCGAGCGACAAGGAAGACCUAACAACUUAAGAGCAGCUGCUUUGCAAAUAAAUCUACUACCGGAUCGGAAUCGUGACCCGCUGAAAAGAUCCAGCGAGAAACUCAGCGGGCUGAUGCGUGGGUUAGGUUGUAACUCGGCAAAGAAUUCGGGGUCCCUAAACUUGCUCUUUGUCUUAGAGCUGAAGACAUCUAGUGCUGAGGAUAACGAAUUUGUUGGAUCCGUAAUGACCUGUCCAGGGCGUCAACGUAGACUGGCUCCUUCGUAAGUAGGGUAUGGGUAGUAAUCAGCGGCGGCAACGAUAAGGCGAUUAUCAUAACGCAUAGCCUUAUCGAAGUACCUAAGCUACGCAUAUUCGUGGGUAGUUUUCUACUGAGACGGUAGAACAACUGUUAUUCAAUACAAUUGAGACGUCGACCUCAAGUCGCAGGGACCUUCACCUUGUUAUGGCUCCAGUAGCCACUUAGCACAAGGUGGACUGUUGGCUGAAACAUAGUUUUGUGUACAAAUGAUUUCUAGCAUAAAAAUGUCCACAUUAAUUUUCUUAAGUUUUCGUAAGUUGUUGACAUAAUUUAAACUACUUUACAGUUUAAUUUCCCUUUUUUUAUUGUUACAAACGUCAGUCAUCCGUGACCACUAAAACCGUAAAAGUAAAAUAGAAACGUCGAAAAUGAUAUAAUGAUAAUAAAAAGUGCGAGCAAAUUAAAUCCUAAAUGUAGUUUUAAUAAUGUCCGUAUUCACUUAUUCUGUAAACCAUCCGCUUAGUUUCAGUAGUAAUUAUUUCAAUUAUAGGUAGAUUAGCUAUACGAUUGCAAACCAAAAGUCAACGUUUAUAUUAUUUUCAAUCAUAUGAAUAAACACUUCGCCGUCCAACGUCUGCGCUUCAGGGCAAUCACUUCCGUUGUUUAAUUUUCAUCCUCUCACUUCUAGACAUACACUACGCACAAGGCUGUUUUAUUUCUAUUCAUAUGUUUCUUUUUAUUAACUUACGCUAGCAAUAUUAGCAGAUGUUAUGUUGUUUUAUGCUAUGUUAUGUAUAGAUACAAACGUUUGUUAGCAGAUAAGCAUUCUCCUACAAGGCAAGCAUCGCCCAUUUGAUUUUAUAAUAAUAAAUAAUAAUAAAAAAUUUAUAAAUAAUAAAUAAAUAAAUAAAUAUAAAUACGAAGCUAA
Molecule: long non-coding RNA, 9175 nt
Organism: Bombyx mori (domestic silkworm)
Lineage: Eukaryota; Metazoa; Arthropoda; Insecta; Lepidoptera; Bombycidae
Exons: 3
Source: RefSeq, a predicted model, not a curated record